RNAcentral lists this ribosomal RNA (689 nucleotides) under uncultured bacterium. RNAcentral describes it as "bacterial SSU rRNA". It matches the Rfam family "Bacterial small subunit ribosomal RNA", at positions 8 to 689 of the family's 1533-position model. The record is from RNAcentral.
AGAGUUUGAUCCUGGCUCAGGAUGAACGCCGGCGGCAUGCCUAAUACAUGCAAGUCGAACGAGGAUCCUUCGGGAUCCUAGUGGCGAACGGGUGAGUAACACGUAGGGAACCUGCCCGCGCACCGGGAAUACGCUCUGGAAACGGAGAACAAAUCCCGAUGUACAGGAAGGAGGCAUCUUCUUUCUGUGAAGCAUCCUGUAAGGGAUGGGGCGCGGAUGGACCUGCGGUGCAUUAGUUAGUUGGCGAGGGUAAAGGCCCACCAAGACGAUGAUGCAUAGCCGGCCUGAGAGGGCGGACGGCCACAUUGGGACUGAGACACGGCCCAAACUCCUACGGGAGGCAGCAGUAGGGAAUCUUCCACAAUGGACGCAAGUCUGAUGGAGCAACGCCGCGUGAGUGAAGAAGGGUUUCGGCUCGUAAAGCUCUGUUGGUAGUGAAGAAAGAUAGAGGUAGUAACUGGCCUUUAUUUGACGGUAAUUACCUAGAAAGUCACGGCUAACUACGUGCCAGCAGCCGCGGUAAUACGUAGGUGGCAAGCGUUGUCCGGAUUUAUUGGGCGUAAAGCGAGUGCAGGCGGUUCAAUAAGUCUGAUGUGAAAGCCUUCGGCUCAACCGGAGAAUUGCAUCAGAAACUGUUGAACUUGAGUGCAGAAGAGGAGAGUGGAACUCCAUGUGUAGCGGUGGAAUGC